UCUGUGCCCUGCUUCUGUGCACUGAGCCUGAAGGGGCCUCUUUCAGAGAUCUUAGGCUAAAAUGACCCAGUUGAGGCUGCUCCUGAAGAGAUGGUUGUUUUGAGAGCGAUUUAAACAGUUAAUACAUGUGCUUAAAAUCAUCAGGCCACAGGGCAUAAGUGCUUCUCCUUGUGAUUAAUACCUGUACCC
Gorilla gorilla gorilla (western lowland gorilla) is the source of this 189-nucleotide long non-coding RNA. RefSeq lists it as uncharacterized. Lineage: Eukaryota; Metazoa; Chordata; Mammalia; Primates; Hominidae. The record is from RefSeq and is a predicted model, not a curated record. The transcript is spliced from 3 exons.